UCGGGAAUUUUGGGCAAUGGGGGCAACCCUGACCCAGCAACGCCGCGUGAGGGAUGAAGGCCCUCGGGUCGUAAACCUCUGUCAGAAGGGAAGAAUGGUCUGCGGGCGAAUAGUCCGGGGACCCGACGGUACCUUCAAAGGAAGCGCCGGCUAACUCCGUGCCAGCAGCCGCGGUAAUACGGAGGGCGCAAGCGUUGUUCGGAAUCAUUGGGCGUAAAGCGCGUGUAGGCGGCUUGGCAAGUCGGGUGUGAAAGCCCGGGGCCCAACCCCGGAACUGCAUUCGAAACUGCCUGGCUAGAGUCCCGGAGAGGAAGGCGGAAUUCCCGGUGUAGAGGUGAAAUUCGUAGAUAUCGGGAGGAACACCAGCGGCGAAGGCGGCCUUCUGGACGGUGACUGACGCUGAGACGCGAAAGCGUGGGGAGCAAACAGGAUUAGAUACCCCCGUAGUCC
RNAcentral lists this ribosomal RNA (450 nucleotides) under uncultured prokaryote. RNAcentral's name for it is "bacterial SSU rRNA". It matches the Rfam family "Bacterial small subunit ribosomal RNA", at positions 355 to 796 of the family's 1533-position model. The record is from RNAcentral.